GUAGGUGAACCUGCGGAAGGAUCAUUAGUGAAUUGAAUAUGUUAGCAGACCUCUUCGGAGUCCCUAGCAUCAAAUCAUAUCCAUAACACCUGUGAACUGUAAGGCUGUCUUGAAAACGAAAGUGAUUAGAGCGCCUGCCCAUUUUAUACAAACAUUAAAGUAACAAACGUAGUCUUAUUAUAAUCUAAUAAAACUUUCAACAACGGAUCUCUUGGCUCUC
Molecule: unclassified non-coding RNA, 220 nt
Filed under: plant metagenome
Description: partial contains small subunit ribosomal RNA, internal transcribed spacer 1, and 5.8S ribosomal RNA
Source: RNAcentral